Molecule: ribosomal RNA, 1016 nt
Filed under: uncultured bacterium
Lineage: Bacteria
Description: bacterial SSU rRNA
Rfam family: Bacterial small subunit ribosomal RNA
Source: RNAcentral
AGGAAUAUUGGUCAAUGGGCGCGAGCCUGAACCAGCCAAGUAGCGUGAAGGAUGAAGGUCCUAUGGAUUGUAAACUUCUUUUAUACGGGAAUAAAGUGGUCCACGUGUGGACUUUUGCAUGUACCGUAUGAAUAAGCAUCGGCUAACUCCGUGCCAGCAGCCGCGGUAAUGCGGAGGAUGCGAGCGUUAUCCGGAUUUAUUGGGUUUAAAGGGAGCGCAGACGGGGGAUUAAGUCAGUUGUGAAAGUUUGCGGCUCAACCGUAAAAUUGCAGUUGAUACUGGUUCCCUUGAGUGCAGUUGAGGCAGGCGGAAUUCGUGGUGUAGCGGUGAAAUGCAUAGAUAUCACGAAGAACCCCGAUUGCGAAGGCAGCCUGCUAAGCUGUAACUGACGUUGAGGCUCGAAAGUGUGGGUAUCAAACAGGAUUAGAUACCCUGGUAGUCCACACGGUAAACGAUGGAUACUCGCUGUUGGCGAUAUACUGUCAGCGGCCAAGCGAAAGCAUUAAGUAUCCCACCUGGGGAGUACGCCGGCAACGGUGAAACUCAAAGGAAUUGACGGGGGCCCGCACAAGCGGAGGAACAUGUGGUUUAAUUCGAUGAUACGCGAGGAACCUUACCCGGGCUUAAAUUGCAGACGAAUUACCUGGAAACAGGUAAGCCGCAAGGCGUCUGUGAAGGUGCUGCAUGGUUGUCGUCAGCUCGUGCCGUGAGGUGUCGGCUUAAGUGCCAUAACGAGCGCAACCCUCGUGGCCAGUUACUAGCAGGUAAUGCUGAGGACUCUGGCCAGACUGCCAUCGUAAGAUGCGAGGAAGGUGGGGAUGACGUCAAAUCAGCACGGCCCUUACGUCCGGGGCUACACACGUGUUACAAUGGGAGGUACAGAAGGCAGCUACCCGGCGACGGGAUGCCAAUCUCCAAAGCCUCUCUCAGUUCGGACUGGAGUCUGCAACCCGACUCCACGAAGCUGGAUUCGCUAGUAAUCGCGCAUCAGCCACGGCGCGGUGAAUACGUUCCCG